CCUACGGGAGGCAGCAGUGGGGAAUAUUGCACAAUGGGGGAAACCCUGAUGCAGCGACGCCGCGUGAAGGAAGAAGUAUUUCGGUAUGUUAACUUCUAUCAGCAGGGAAGAAAAUGACGGUACCUGAAUAAGAAGCCCAGGCUAACUACGUGCCAGCAGCCGCGGUAAUACGGAGGGGGCAAGCGUUAUCCGGAUUUACUGGGUGUAAAGGGAGCGUAGGCGGUUUGGCAAGUCAGAAGUGAAAGCCCGGGGCUCAAUUCCGGAACUGUUUUUGAAACUGUUGAACUAGCUUGCAGGUGAGGUAAGUGGAAUUCCUGGUGUAGCGGUGAAAUGCGUAGAUAUUAGGAGGAACACCAGUGGCGAAGGCGGCUUACUGAACUGUAAAUGACGCUGAGGCUCGAAAGCGUGGGGAGCAAACAGGAUUAGAUACCCCAGUAGUC
This 440-nucleotide ribosomal RNA is filed under the name uncultured bacterium. RNAcentral's name for it is "partial 16S ribosomal RNA". It matches the Rfam family "Bacterial small subunit ribosomal RNA", at positions 338 to 795 of the family's 1533-position model. The record is from RNAcentral.